AGUUUGAGGCAGAAGCCCGUAGCACAAGCACCCAUGGUGCUGCCUGUCAGAUUCUGAUGAAUCUGCAAAUUCUGCU
This 76-nucleotide ribozyme is filed under the name Crocodylus porosus (Australian saltwater crocodile). RNAcentral's name for it is "Mammalian CPEB3 ribozyme (ENSCPRG00005004732.1)". It matches the Rfam family "Mammalian CPEB3 ribozyme". From Rfam's summary of the family: The mammalian CPEB3 ribozyme is a self cleaving RNA located in the second intron of the CPEB3 gene which belongs to a family of genes regulating messenger RNA polyadenylation. This ribozyme is highly conserved and found only in mammals. There is currently only one other known self cleaving ribozyme in mammals, the CoTC motif. Lineage: Eukaryota; Metazoa; Chordata; Crocodylia; Crocodylidae. The record is from RNAcentral.